Molecule: ribosomal RNA, 514 nt
Filed under: uncultured bacterium
Lineage: Bacteria
Description: bacterial SSU rRNA
Rfam family: Bacterial small subunit ribosomal RNA
Source: RNAcentral
AAUCAACGCUGGCGGCGUGCCUCAGACAUGCAAGUCGAACGCGAAAGCCCCCUUCGGGGGGCAAGUAGAGUGGCGCACGGGUGAGUAACACGUAGGUAAUCUACCUUUGGAUGGGGAAUAACAACCGGAAACGGUUGCUAAUACCGCAUAAUGCAGCGGCACCUAAUGGUGACAGUUGUUAAAGCGGGGGAUCGCAAGACCUCGCGUCUGAAGAGGAGCCUGCGGCGGAUUAGCUAGUUGGUAAGGUAACGGCUUACCAAGGCUUUGAUCCGUAGCCGGCCUGAGAGGGCGGUCGGCCACACUGACACUGACAUACGGGUCAGACUCCUACGGGAGGCAGCAGUCGGGAAUUUUGGGCAAUGGGCGAAAGCCUGACCCAGCAACGCCGCGUGAAGGAUGAAAUCCCUCGGGAUGUAAACUUCGCAAGAACGGGAAGAAUAAGUAAGAGCCAAUAACUCUUAUGAUGACGGUACUGUUUGUAAGCUCCGGCUAACUCCGUGCCAGCAGCCGCGGU